AUGGAUUCGUCGUGGAAUCAUGGCUAUGAAAAUGAUGAUGUUGAUGAUUUUGUAUUCAACGAGUUCAUCGUUUCAUCGGAUUCAGGCGAUGAGGAUGCUGAAAUGAUGAUGAUGAUGAUGAUGAUGAUGAUGAGCAUCCAAGAGGAGUUGGGCAAGGCAGACGAGCACGUCCUCAACUUCAGGGGUUUCAUCAAGGGGCGAAGAGUUAUUCCUCAUGAUAGGAUUGCCAGUGCACGCCUUCUGUACAUGGACUACUUCCCAGCAGUCCCAACAUUCCAUGAAUCUUCUUUCGUCAUCGCUAGCGGAUGA
Molecule: ribosomal RNA, 309 nt
Filed under: Triticum aestivum (bread wheat)
Lineage: Eukaryota; Viridiplantae; Streptophyta; Magnoliopsida; Poales; Poaceae
Description: partial small subunit ribosomal RNA
Source: RNAcentral